RNAcentral lists this unclassified non-coding RNA (390 nucleotides) under soil metagenome. Its description in RNAcentral is "partial contains 5.8S ribosomal RNA, internal transcribed spacer 2, and large subunit ribosomal RNA". The stretch from base 1 to 122 matches the Rfam family "5.8S ribosomal RNA", at positions 35 to 154 of the family's 154-position model. The record is from RNAcentral.
GAUGAAGAACGUAGCGAAAUGCGAUACUUGGUGUGAAUUGCAGAAUCCCGUGAACCAUCGAGUCUUUGAACGCAAGUUGCGCCCGAAGCCAUUAGGCCGAGGGCACGCCUGCCUGGGCGUCACACGUCGUUGCCCCCCCAUCUACUCCUUCGGGAUUGCGGGGGGCGGAUGAUGGCCUCCCGUGCGCCACGCCGCGCGGUUGGCAUAAAUGCCAAGUCCUCGGCGACGCACGCCACGACAAUCGGUGGUUGCGAAACCUCGGUUGCCCGUCGUGUGCGUUCGUCGCGCAUCGAGGGCUCGAAAAAAUGCUCGGCUCCGGCUGGGCUUUCAACGCGACCCCAGGUCAGGCGGGGUUACCCGCUGAAUUUAAGCAUAUCAAUAAGCGGAGGA